UGAUGCUGAGUCACAGUAUUGGAAAUGAAAUUGGCAUAUGAUUCAAGACACUGUAAAUCUUCAAUACCAAACUGUAAACCCUAAUAACAAAUAUGUCUUCCCUCUGAUGUUUCCUACAAGGUAGGCUGACAUUCAACUUAUUUCAGCCAUUGAGGUCAGCUGGAGAUCCUGACCAGCGUUAGUGACCUGCUGUCCCUGCUGUGGCCCUGUGUCUGGAGGUGAUCCAAGGAGACCCCGUUCAUCAUUUCUCUCUGCACCUACACCUCAUUUCAGCAUAAUCAAGACCAACUUAGAAAGGUUAGCUGUGGUCAGAAGAAAUUUAUGAAGAGUGGCUAUUAAGAGAGAGAGCACAUGUAUGCAGACUGUGUUUAAUAAUGUGGCUAUUCAGCCCACGUUCAUGUGACUCACGAGUGACCUAAGCAGUUUCUUCACAAAGCACACAUGGAAAGCACAGACACAGAGGCAAGUUGGGGGAGAGCCCUGGCAGGACCAUACCUCCUCACCCCAGGGCAGAUGGGCAUGAACUUGUCUGGAUGGACGCAUUCAAGGGGGACUGAAAGAGAUUGGGAGUUGAUUGGAUAGUCAGAGAUGGGUGCAGAAUUUAAACUCCUGGAUCAUAGAAAACUUAAUGACAUAGCAGAAAGAAUCGUAUAGCGGGCACAUUUUGUUGCUGAACAUGUUAGUCAAAUGUUGGUUGAUAAUUUCUGCCUACAACGUUAGCAAGAAUUUUGGUGAAUGGACUAUGAAAAGAUGGGCAGAGACACUAUCCGGGAUGCUGGAGAUACAGCAGUGAACAAAACCCACACACCCCUCUGCCCCCUGGGAGCUUCCAUCAAAGAGGGAGGUGGAGAAUAAACAAGACUCCCUGUGAUCUGGCUACAUGCUGUAAACUGCUCACAGUGGUUCCUGCCUCCACGCCUCAUGAACAUGGUUCCUGUGUGUAGCCCAAUGCCAACCAGUUCUUUCCUGACAUGACUUUGUCCUGGGACACCUGCUCUUUCUUGCCCUGGAGACUCAAUGAUUUUAUGUCUGGAGGUUGAUAAGUCACAAGAUAUCUGGAAUUAGGUGGGAGACCAUGCUGGUGACAUUUGGAAGAACCUGGCUGGGGAAGAAUGAAGCUCCAUUAUUUUUGUCUACUUUGCUAACAAUUCAGAGUUCUGAAAAGUCUGGAUCGCACUAUGAGAAGUUUGUGUGCUUAGUGAAAUGUUGUCCAAUUGGCCAAUCCACUUGGUCUUGGGAAAUGUCCUAGAAGCUUGGCAAGAAAAUGUUCUCAAGAGAGCACAAAUGCUGCCAAUUUCCAAUUGGCCAAGACACAUUACAAGGACAACCUUCUCUCCGAGCAACCUGGCAUUUCCACUCCAAUUGGAAUCUGCAACACAAAGAUGCACGCGGGGGAAAGACUAAGUAAACAAACCUUUCAGAUUUCCGCUCCAGCCAGUUGCCUGGUACCAUGAUGUCACCUACUACUGUUUAGUUUCCAUCCACCAGGUCUACACUAGUGAAUACUCCAGGACCAGUAAAGUCACUUGUUUGCCAGCAGCAGCAGUUAUUUCUGCAUUGACCAAGCUGGUACUUUGCUCAUCAUCAAACCCAGUCCAAGUAUAGGUGGCUGCUUCUGGAAUUAACUUCCAAACGCUGGAUGGAAGUCAGGUGUGUUUUCAUCGGGUCCGUGCAAAUCUAGGCAUUGAGUUGAUGUUGUGGAUAUAACAGGAUUGAUUUCUGGCCUUUGGGGAGCCAGCACACAGACAAUGAAGCAGGAAAACAUGGUGACCUAUGAUCCACCAGAAUGGAAGCUCCAUGAAUGCAGGAUGGUGCUUUUUUCUGCUUUUGCUCACUACUGUAUCACAAGCCCUUAGGGCUUGCCUGCAAGCAGUAGGUACUCAACAAGUAUUUGUUGAAAGGUUGAAUAUGAUAAGAGAAAAGUAGAAAGGUGACCAAACGUGGGAUAGAAAGGAAUGUUAACCAGAGGAAGUGACAUAUAACAACCCCCUAAAGCAUAAGUGAGUUAGCCUGGAAAAGUAGGGAGAUCAUGAUUUUUUGCUUUUCACUUGCUUUGUAUUUGGGGUCUGUACUGCUUCCUGUGAUGUCUCCAUAGCUAAAUUCUUUUAUUUUUAUUUAGUUUCUGACAAACUGACAUGCAGUAAGUAUGGAUCUUUAUUUAGCAUUUGCAAUGUCCAAAGUGGAAUUCUUAACCGAAGCUACUACUAGCUUCUGACUAUUUAGGUCUCCUGAGAUCGCUGAGGCCAGGUCCUGCGUGCUUAAUUGAAUACGUCACUUAUGUAUGCAUUCACGUAUUCAUUCGUUAUACACAUGUUUGUUCAGCACCCACCAUAUGCAAGAUAGUAGCUAUGUACUAAGGUGCCAGCAGAGACUGAUCAAGGAAUUGACAGUUCCCCAGAUUUGAGAGUUUAUGGGGGAAAUUGAUGAUAGAAGAAUAAGGUUUUGAACAGCCGUGGUCUGUGUCCAGUCCAUUAGCAAGCGAUUUUGGCAUAAGCAGCAUAGAAAUUAGCAGGUCAUGCAACUAGAUCUUUCCCUUCUGUAGUUGAAUCAAAUUAUCUCUUAGGGCGCCUGGUUGGCUCAGUUGGUUGAGUGUCUGACUUCGGCUCAGGUCAUGAUCUGAGCAU
This is a long non-coding RNA of Herpailurus yagouaroundi (jaguarundi), 2624 nucleotides long. RefSeq lists it as uncharacterized. Lineage: Eukaryota; Metazoa; Chordata; Mammalia; Carnivora; Felidae. The record is from RefSeq and is a predicted model, not a curated record. The transcript is spliced from 12 exons.